Molecule: long non-coding RNA, 1048 nt
Filed under: Lonchura striata (white-rumped munia)
Lineage: Eukaryota; Metazoa; Chordata; Aves; Passeriformes; Estrildidae
Description: domestica (Bengalese finch) lncRNA (ENSLSDG00000006741.1)
Source: RNAcentral
UGUCCCCGAGUUCUGGCGGGAGCAGCGCGGUGUCCCCAAAUCCUGGCGGGACAUCCAGGGUGUCCCCGAGUUCUGGCGGGAGCAGCGCGGUGUCCUCAAAUCCUGGCGGGACAUCCAGGGUGUCCCCGAGUUCUGGCGGGAGCAGCGCGGUGUCCCCGAGUUCUGGCGGGACAUGCGGAGUGUCCCCGAGUUCUGGCGGGAGCAGCGCGGUGUCCCCAAAUCCUGUCACAACAUCCAGAGUGUCCCCAAAUCCUGUCACAACAUCCAGAGUGUCCCCGAGUUCUGGCGGGAUAUGCGGAGUGUCCCCAAAUUCUGUCACGACAUCCAGAGUGUCCCCGAGUUCUGGCGGGACAUCCCCAAUGUCCCCAAAUCCUGUCACAACAUCCAGGGUGUCCCCGAGUUCUGGCGGGACAUCCAGGGUGUCCCCAAAUUCUGUCACGACAUCCAGAGUGUCCCCGAGUUCUGGCGGGACAUCCAGAGUGUCCCCGAGUUCUGGCGGGACAUCCCCAAUAUCCCCAAAUCCUGGCGGGAUAUCCAGAGUGUCCCCAAAUCCUGUCACGACAUCCAGAGUGUCCCCAAAUCCUGUCACGACAUUCCCAAUAUCGCCAAAUCCUGCCGCGACCCCCUCGGUGUCCCCAAAUCCUGUCGCGACCCCCUCGGUGUCCCCAAAUCCUGGCGGGACCCGCCCCGAGCGCUGCACGCUGCUCUAGGGGCGCGACCCCGAAUCCGCCGGAUUUUCACCCAAAAACGGGCAAAAAGUGGCGAAGUUUUGUACCAAAAACGGGCAAAAAAUGUUCAAGUUUUGUACUAAAAAUGAGCGGUAAAUGUUCGAUUUUUGUACCAAAAAUGAGCGGUGAAUGUUCGAUUUUUGUACCAAAAAUGAGCGAUGAAUUUUCGAUUUUUGUACCAAAAAUGAGCGGUAAAUGUUCGAUUUUUGUACCAAAAAUGAGCGGUGAAUGUUCGAUUUUUGUACCAAAAAUGAGCGAUGAAUGUUCAAUUUUUGUACCAAAAAUGAGUGAUGAAUGUUCAAUUUUGUACCAAAAAUGAG